Transfer RNA from Vitis vinifera (wine grape), 74 nucleotides. It matches the Rfam family "tRNA". From Rfam's summary of the family: Transfer RNA (tRNA) molecules are approximately 80 nucleotides in length. NCBI's taxonomy places the organism in Eukaryota, Viridiplantae, Streptophyta, Magnoliopsida, Vitales, Vitaceae. The record is from Rfam.
GGGAUUGUAGUUCAAUUGGUCAGUGCAAUGCCUUUGCAAGGCAGAAGCUGCGGGUUCAAGCCCCGUCAAUCCCA